CCUACGGGCGGCAGCAGUGGGGAAUAUUGCACAAUGGGGGAAACCCUGAUGCAGCGACGCCGCGUGAGUGAAGAAGCGCCUCGGCGCGUAAAGCUCUGUCAGCAGGAACGACGAUGACGGUACCUGAAGAAGAAGCUCCGGCUAACUACGUGCCAGCAGCCGCGGUAAUACGGAGGGGGCAAGCGUUAUCCGGAUUUACUGGGUGUAAAGGGAGCGUAGACGGCGGGGCAAGUCUGGAGUGAAAGGCCGGGGCCCAACCCCGGGACCGCUCUGGAAACUGCCCGGCUGGAGUGAAGUAGAGGUUGGCGGAAUUCGGAGUGUAGCGGUGAAAUGCGUAGAUAUUCGGAGGAACACCGGUGGCGAAGGCGGCCAACUGGGCUUUAACUGACGCUGAGGCUCGUAAGUGUGGGGAGCAAACAGGAUUAGAUACCCCUGUAGUC
This 440-nucleotide ribosomal RNA is filed under the name uncultured bacterium. RNAcentral describes it as "partial 16S ribosomal RNA". It matches the Rfam family "Bacterial small subunit ribosomal RNA", at positions 338 to 795 of the family's 1533-position model. The record is from RNAcentral.